GAUCCAGCGCUUGAUGGGCCUUGGACCCAGAUCCUCCGACGAAGCCUGCCACCCCGUGCGUGCAGCUUCAAUCCGUCGCUGCUUGCAGGCCAUGUCCCGGCCCAGUUCUUCCCCGGCGCAGAACCAGGACAGAUCGGCCCAUCACCCCUCUCUGCAUUUGCUUCUUCCCGGUUAUGAUCGCGAAGUGGUGUUGUGAGAUACGACAAGUUCUUCUGCAACUUUUCACAGGCGAGCCCACCCCUUCACCUAUUUUGCUUUUACAUGCUCUUUUGAUCUAUUGCUAUCCUUGUGUUGCGAUUCUGUUGUGUCACGUGUCCUAACCACCUGUACCUAUAUGUCCGAGAUACACCUCCUCGCCCUACCUAUUGUUUGUUGUUUGCCAGCUUUGCGAGUCGUAGGCGAGUUUAGGGUCUUGUUGAUAUCUCGAGAUGUUCGGGAUAUCUUGUUGGGAGGUUAUCACAUGCUAUAUCUUUUGUUGGAGAUAAUCACACUUGAUUUUAUUGUUAACAACUAAAAUUGUAAGCAGAGGCAUCUGUGAGCCCCUUUGCGAAAGCAUCGGAACUUUGACUUGCUAAUGUCCCCUAGGACCCGAGUUCUUGUUAUCUGUUCCGAGAUUGAGCGCUCUACCCGUACGUGGGGGAGUGGGACCCCCAUCACCCACUACCUUUCCUCGAGUCUGUUUAUUGGGAGCCACAACCUUGGUUUUAUUCGCUCAUAUGCACGAUGCACGAUUUACUUCCUGUUGCCUUCGGGUGUUUAUAUUUUGUACUGUACUCAUAUUGCGUGCCGAUUUAUCCUUGGCCGGUCGUUAGUGCCCGCCUUGGACGCCAUCGCAACCUCUGGGUCCGUAUCGGAGUACGGCCGGACUUCGUCACGGGUAGCUUAGUUGGGUGGCUCCCAUUAAAUUUUCUCUUGCAUUGGGAACGGUCUUGAUGUGAGACUCCACCUGUAGUAAGUGGGUUCGAGCAUGCGUAUGGUUACAUUUGGGCAACCCCUGCAGGGUGUACAUCUUAUCGAUAAGCCGUGUCCGCGGUUAUGGACGACUUGGAAUUGUAUAGCUUGAUCAUAGAACAACUUACACCUUAUAUCCUGUUGUUAAUAAUUUGCUAAUAAAACUCUUUCAAAAGUGUGUGUGCCUUUGCAAUACCUCUUGGCGAAGGGGGAUCGCAUUGGCUGGGUUAUGUUUGUCUAGUAUUUAUCUGUUACCUUGUGCGCUCUAUUAUCUUCUCUGAGUAGACAGAUGUUGUAGCGUGUCUCUAUUGGAUAGUAGCUUUGCUGCCGCUAAACUCCACAUAUAGCCGGGUGAAGUUUAUACCGCCCACCAGCGAGCAUAGCUGGUCUUGUCUCGCAAGUACGUGCCAAUGGUACUUACCCUCGCCUUCCUUUCUUUUUGUCUCCUCCCCCUUCUGUCGGCAACCGAUGGCCCGACUUUGACAGGUACGAGAUGAUGACGUUAGCAAGGUUACCCUUCCGGCUUGGCCUGGGCAGGGUUAUGGACGCCACUGGUUAUCUUCAGGACUCUUAGUCCAAUUUGUAUCUUGUCCGUACUCGGACGUAUUUGAUCUUCUGUAUGAUUUGGAUAUUUGUAUGUAUCUAUUUGUAUCUUGACUCGUUGGAGUCGUUGUUGAUAUAUAUGUAUCUUGUGGGCUCUAUUGUAA
Long non-coding RNA from Lolium perenne, 1658 nucleotides. RefSeq lists it as uncharacterized. Lineage: Eukaryota; Viridiplantae; Streptophyta; Magnoliopsida; Poales; Poaceae. The record is from RefSeq and is a predicted model, not a curated record.